GGAGUUUGGUCCGUGUCUCAGUACCAAUGUGGGGGACCUUCCUCUCAGAACCCCUACUGAUCGACGGCUUGGUGGGCCGUUACCCCGCCAACAACCUAAUCAGACGCAUCCCCAUCCCUUAGCGAUAAAUCUUUGAUUCACUUCAGAUGUCCUCGACGAAUAACAUAGGGGAUUAAUCCGACUUUCGCCGGGCUAUGCCCUACUAAGGGGAAGGGUUGGAUACGCGUUACUCACCCGUGCGCCGGUCGCCAUCAAUCAAAGACAAGCUUUGUAUCAUGCUGCCCCUCGACUUGCAUGUGUUAAGCCUCG
This 309-nucleotide ribosomal RNA is filed under the name uncultured Prevotella sp. Its description in RNAcentral is "partial 16S ribosomal RNA". The record is from RNAcentral. Lineage: Bacteria; Pseudomonadati; Bacteroidota; Bacteroidia; Bacteroidales; Prevotellaceae.